UACGUAGGGUGCAAGCGUUGUCCGGAAUUAUUGGGCGUAAAGAGCUCGUAGGCGGUCUGUUGCGUCGGCUGUGAAAACCCGAGGCUCAACCUCGGGCCUGCAGCCGAUACGGGCAGACUAGAGUUCGGCAGGGGAGACUGGAAUUCCCGGUGUAGCGGUGAAAUGCGCAGAUAUCAGGAGGAACACCGGUGGCGAAGGCAGGUCACUGGGCCGCAACUGACGCUGAGGAGCGAAAGCAUGGGGAGCGAACAGG
This 253-nucleotide ribosomal RNA is filed under the name uncultured bacterium. RNAcentral describes it as "partial 16S ribosomal RNA". It matches the Rfam family "Bacterial small subunit ribosomal RNA", at positions 524 to 776 of the family's 1533-position model. The record is from RNAcentral.